AAAGCCAUGAGCUCUUCUGCUAUUCUGUGGGAGGUAGCUCUCCCCCAUCCUCAAAAGUCAUAAAUCCCAACUCUUCCCAUUGUAAUGGUUCAAACCUGGGCUCCAAUUUGGAACUCCAAGUUUUGACCAUUGGACUGUCUCCUUGGAACCAGAAAACAUUUGUAUACAAGAAAGCAACUAACAGUGUUUUUUGUUUUCCUUACCAGCAGGAUCUUUUGUUAGAGUUGAAGA
RNAcentral lists this unclassified non-coding RNA (231 nucleotides) under Hevea brasiliensis (rubber tree). Lineage: Eukaryota; Viridiplantae; Streptophyta; Magnoliopsida; Malpighiales; Euphorbiaceae. The record is from RNAcentral.